CGAAAACACCAACAAGGAAGUUGUCAAUUUUUUUCUCCCUUCAUGACUAGUACUAAGAUGUCUUAUAGUAACAACUUAACAGGUUUAUAUUAGCCAAAAAGUGAAGGGAAACGACGACAAAACUUGCUUUUCUGUAUUCACAUCGCCAUGCGUAACAGGAGCAUAUCAGAGUAUCUCUCUAGAAGGGCCAUAGCACGAUCAUCCCUAAGUUGACGACCUGGAGAGUCUUCUGGAAGUUGAGG
Ictalurus punctatus (channel catfish) is the source of this 242-nucleotide long non-coding RNA. RefSeq lists it as uncharacterized. Lineage: Eukaryota; Metazoa; Chordata; Actinopteri; Siluriformes; Ictaluridae. The record is from RefSeq and is a predicted model, not a curated record. The transcript has 2 exons.